AUACGAAAGGUGCAAGCGUUGUUCGGAUUUACUGGGCGUAAAGAGAUCGUAGGUGGUUUGUUAAGUCGGAUGUGAAAUCCCGGGGCUCAACCCCGGAACUGCAUUCGAUACUGGCAGACUAGAGUUCGGGAGGGGUAAGCGGAAUUCCGUGUGUAGCAGUGAAAUGCGUAGAUAUACGGAGGAACACCUGAGGCGAAGGCGGCUUACUGGACCGAUACUGACACUGAGGAUCGAAAGCGAGGGUAGCAAACAGGAUUAGAAACCCUAGUAGUCC
Molecule: ribosomal RNA, 274 nt
Filed under: uncultured bacterium
Lineage: Bacteria
Description: partial 16S ribosomal RNA
Rfam family: Bacterial small subunit ribosomal RNA
Source: RNAcentral